Molecule: ribosomal RNA, 549 nt
Filed under: uncultured bacterium
Lineage: Bacteria
Description: bacterial SSU rRNA
Rfam family: Bacterial small subunit ribosomal RNA
Source: RNAcentral
UGGGGAAUUUUGGACAAUGGGCGCAAGCCUGAUCCAGCCAUACCGCGUGUCUGAAGAAGGCCUUCGGGUUGUAAAGGACUUUUGUCAGGGAAGAAAAGGAUAGGGUUAAUACCCCUGUCUGAUGACGGUACCUGAAGAAUAAGCACCGGCUAACUACGUGCCAGCAGCCGCGGUAAUACGUAGGGUGCGAGCGUUAAUCGGAAUUACUGGGCGUAAAGCGGGCGCAGACGGUUACUUAAGCAGGAUGUGAAAUCCCCGGGCUCAACCUGGGAACUGCGUUCUGAACUGGGUGACUAGAGUGUGUCAGAGGGAGGUAGAAUUCCACGUGUAGCAGUGAAAUGCGUAGAGAUGUGGAGGAAUACCGAUGGCGAAGGCAGCCUCCUGGGAUAACACUGACGUUCAUGCCCGAAAGCGUGGGUAGCAAACAGGAUUAGAUACCCUGGUAGUCCACGCCCUAAACGAUGUCGAUUAGCUGUUGGGCAGCUUGACUGCUUAGUAGCGAAGCUAACGCGUGAAAUCGACCGCCUGGGGAGUACGGUCGCAAGAUUA